Molecule: ribosomal RNA, 494 nt
Filed under: uncultured bacterium
Lineage: Bacteria
Description: bacterial SSU rRNA
Rfam family: Bacterial small subunit ribosomal RNA
Source: RNAcentral
AGUUGAUUCUGGCUCAGGACGAACGCUGGCGGCGUGCCUAACACAUGCAAGUCGAACGGAGAUAUGAUUUCGGUUGUAUCUUAGUGGCGAACGGGUGAGUAACGCGUGAGCAACCUGACCUUCAGAGGGGGAUAACACUCGGAAACGAGUGCUAAUACCGCAUAAGACCACGACCCGACAUCGGGAUGAGGUCAAAGGAGCAAUCCGCUGAGGGAGGGGCUCGCGUCCCAUUAGAUAGAUGGCGGGGUAACGGCCCACCAUGUCGACGAUGGGUAGCCGAGCUGAGAGGCUGAUCGGCCACACUGGAACUGAGACACGGUCCAGACUCCUACGGGAGGCAGCAGUGGGGAAUAUUGGGCAAUGGGCGCAAACGCCUGACCCAGCAACGCCGCGUGAGGGAAGAAGGCUUUCGGGUUGUAGACCUCUGUCCUUGGUGACGAAAAAAUGACGGUAGCCAAGGAGGAAGCCCCGGCUAACUACGUGCCAGCCGCGGC